Molecule: ribosomal RNA, 496 nt
Filed under: uncultured bacterium
Lineage: Bacteria
Description: partial 16S ribosomal RNA
Rfam family: Bacterial small subunit ribosomal RNA
Source: RNAcentral
GAUGAACGCUGGCGGCGUGCCUAAUACAUGCAAGUCGAGCGAACAGACGAGGAGCUUGCUCCUCUGACGUUAGCGGCGGACGGGUGAGUAACACGUGGAUAACCUACCUAUAAGACUGGGAUAACUUCGGGAAACCGGAGCUAAUACCGGAUAAUAUAUUGAACCGCAUGGUUCAAUAGUGAAAGACGGUUUUGCUGUCACUUAUAGAUGGAUCCGCGCCGCAUUAGCUAGUUGGUAAGGUAACGGCUUACCAAGGCAACGAUGCGUAGCCGACCUGAGAGGGUGAUCGGCCACUCUGGAACUGAGACGCGAUCCAGACACCGACGGGAGGCAGAAGUAGGGAAUCUACCGCAAUGGGCGAAAGCCUGACGGAGCAACGCCGCGUGAGUGAUGAAGGGCUUCGGAUCGUAAAACUCUGUUAUUAGGGAAGAACAAAUGUGUAAGUAACGAUGCACGUCUGGAGGGUACCGAAUCAGAAAGCCACGGCAAACUACGU